Molecule: ribosomal RNA, 449 nt
Filed under: uncultured bacterium
Lineage: Bacteria
Description: partial 16S ribosomal RNA
Rfam family: Bacterial small subunit ribosomal RNA
Source: RNAcentral
CUCCAGACUCCUACGGGAGGCAGCAGUGGGGAAUAUUGCACAAUGGGGGGAACCCUGAUGCAGCGACGCCGCGUGGGCGAGGAAGUAUUUCGGUAUGUAAAGCCCUAUCGGCAGGGAAGAAGAAAUGACGGUACCUGAAUAAGAAGCACCGGCUAAAUACGUGCCAGCAGCCGCGGUAAUACGUAGGGAGCAAGCGUUGUCCGGAAUUACUGGGUGUAAAGGGAGCGUAGGCGGGGAUGCAAGUUGGGGGUCAAAACUAUCGGCUCAACCGAUAGUCGCACUCAAAACUGCAACUCUUGAGUGAAGUAGAGGCAGGCGGAAUUCCUAGUGUAGCGGUGAAAUGCGUAGAUAUUAGGAGGAACACCAGUGGCGAAGGCGGCCUGCUGGGCUUUUACUGACGCUGAGGCUCGAAAGUGUGGGGAGCAAACAGGAUUAGAUACCCCAGUAUC